Non-coding RNA from Dermacentor andersoni, 1572 nucleotides. Lineage: Eukaryota; Metazoa; Arthropoda; Arachnida; Ixodida; Ixodidae. The record is from RefSeq and is a predicted model, not a curated record.
GCAUAUGAAUAGCAAAACGGAUUUCGAGCAUAUCUGCAGCGCUAUUUUGUAUUGCUCCCCAUUGCAGGUUUGCAACGCGGAACUUCGCAUUCUUGUUGUGGACCCCCGGUUCCCUGGUUCGUGCCAUGACUCUUGGGUGUGGCAGCGUAACCCACUGCGUGCACGCCUAGCCGCACAACUGCAGCCUGGCGAGUAUCUGCUUGGAGACUCAGGAUAUCCUCUCGAGCCAUGGCUGCUUGUUCCAGUACCUGGCAGCCAUGCCGGCACCACCUCUGAAGGCCACUACAACCAGGAGCACGCAUCCAUGCGCAAUGUUGUGGAGAGAUGUAUCGGGGUGUUGAAAAGCAAGUUCCGCUGCCUGCAGCGCUUUCGGACACUGCUAUACAGCCCCGAUAGAGCAGCGCGAAUCAUUUAUGCAUGCGUUGCCCUCCAUAACAUUGCCUUGGAGGCGGGCGACUGGACAUUGGACGAUUAUGGUGGGGAAGUGCCGCCAGCUGAGGAGCCAGAGGAGCCAGGAGACAUCCAGGUGCUGGCACCACACGACGUGUUCCUCAGAGGAAGGCAGCAGCGCAGCGCCGUUGUCAACCUUUUCUGAAGGACACAGGAAUGGUGCUCAGCGAUGUCCUGCGCUAUGGCGCGCACCUGUUCCAGGAUCCCCUCCUGGGCUGCUGCCGUCCGUUCUGCCGCGACAGCGAGGCGGGUUGUGGAAGCCUCGAUUCUGCGCAGCACCUGGAAUGAAUAAUCAUGGUGGAACUGUUCGCAUCAGUUGCUGAUUACUCGCAACCAGCUCACGGCUGCAAGCUGCUGUUGUGAAGAAUUGCAACGUGCACAACGAUUCCCUCUCUGCUGAAGAGCCACUGGCCUGAUGGAAUUCUUUGGCAGUGUCAAGCGUCGCGUACAAGCUGUACCCUCCUCGUUUGGCCAGACAAACACCUGCUGGAACUACUCUUCCGUCAUCUAUUCUAAUGCAUCUCUCACCACCAAACAGCCCUUUUCAGGGCUAACCAACCUUUCGUCCGGCGGCUGAUCGUUGGCAAGAUACGUUACCGAGCCCUCUAUACAACGCAUAUUUCUUGUUUACAUCCCAAGCUGAUUUGUUUUUCAGAUUCAUGAUUUACUUAUAACAAAGCACACAGAAUAUUUAUGUCCUUCAUGUAAAAUGACACCAAAGGGCCUACAAACCUGCAGCACCUCGUCGCCCUGUUCCAGGCUGCGGGCGCACUGCGACGACAUCGUAGUCAGGGUAUCCACCCGUCGCGGUCGCUGUCGACGUGGUGGCCGAACAGGGUGCUGCAACACUGAAAGCAUACAGCAUUUUCUACAGUUGCACGGCAUUUUAUGGUACGAAUAAAAGUGGCUAUGGCCAUGUUAUGGCUUAUUGGGCUAGUUCAAUAAAAUACAAGAGCUCAUUUUAUUUAACAGCUUGAGGAUCAAUAACUUACCAGGUGCAGCGGCCACCCUUUCGGCAGGCGCCGCGCCGCGCGGUGGAUCCUCUGCCGCUGUAGAGUAAACACAUUAAUGUUUACGAACUGCACACACACUUGGCGAUAAUUAAAACACUCAUUCCUCUGA